Hordeum vulgare subsp. vulgare (domesticated barley) is the source of this 149-nucleotide non-coding RNA. Lineage: Eukaryota; Viridiplantae; Streptophyta; Magnoliopsida; Poales; Poaceae. The record is from Rfam.
ACUAUAUUACCUCCGUCCCAAAUUAGUUGUCUUAGAUUUGUCUCGAUACGGAUGUACCUAACACUAAAAUGUGUCUAGAUACGGAUGUCUAGAUACAUCCUUAUCUAGACAAAUCUUAGACAACUAAUUCGGGACGGAGGGACUAGUAU